This is a long non-coding RNA of Parus major (Great Tit), 683 nucleotides long. RefSeq lists it as uncharacterized. Lineage: Eukaryota; Metazoa; Chordata; Aves; Passeriformes; Paridae. The record is from RefSeq and is a predicted model, not a curated record. The transcript has 3 exons.
CCCAACCCCAGCAGAUUUCCCUCCCUCGGUGCCACCACACAGGUGUUGACACCUCACCUGUGCCACAGCUGGGAGCCCCUGUGAGAAUCGUGGUGCCUCUCCCGGGGGCUGGGGAGGGGCUGGGGAGGGGCUGGGGUUCAUUCCCGUCCUGCUGGGGGUAAAACCCCCCUGGACCACUCCAGGCUCAGGUGCCACUGGGAGGUUUUUGGGGCUGGAUGUGAAAAUCCCAGCAGGUGCCCGAGCUGAGCCCGGCCCUGGGAGGCUGUGGGGACACACCUGGGCAGGUGUGGGGCUGCUCUGUGUCUCACCUGCAGUUUACCACGCCGUGUACCUGGAGGAGCUGACGGCGGCCGAGCUGACGGAGAAGCUGGCGCAGCUUUUCCGCGUCCCCGCCCAGCAGAUCCAGCAGAUCUACAAACAGGGACCCACCGGGAUCCACGUCCUGGUCAGCGACGAGAUGAUCCAGAACUUCCAGGAUGAAUCCUGCUUUGUUCUGGACACCAUGAAAGCUGAAAGCAACGACAGCUACCACAUCAUCCUGAAAUAGGGGGCCAGGUGAGGGCCAGGUGAGGAGCACCUGCAGCCCUCAGCACACCUGGACACCCUCCACUCCCAGCACAAGGACACAAGCAGAGAUCUGGGAACCCCCAGGUGUGGUUACCUGGCCGCCCUCCUCNGGACUC